Molecule: long non-coding RNA, 225 nt
Filed under: Sorghum bicolor (sorghum)
Lineage: Eukaryota; Viridiplantae; Streptophyta; Magnoliopsida; Poales; Poaceae
Description: long non-coding RNA (SBIC_LNC000212)
Source: RNAcentral
AGGCAUGAAGAAAUAGCUUUGACACAUUCGUUGUAUUGUCAAACCUUUUUUUUCUUUUAACUGAAACAAAUACAAACUGUUGCCUUCAGUUGAGAACUUGAGAUCAGAUUUCCACUGAUAAAGUAGAAGACUAAACAUAAAAGGGACUUACAUGUGUUAACCAUAGUCACAUAAAACUGGGUCUCGAAGGCAUCGACCCUUGACCCGGUAACGUCAACCCCGGCC